Molecule: long non-coding RNA, 2652 nt
Filed under: Sus scrofa (pig)
Lineage: Eukaryota; Metazoa; Chordata; Mammalia; Artiodactyla; Suidae
Description: lncRNA (ENSSSCG00015028962.1)
Source: RNAcentral
UUUUAGGGCCAAUCCUGUGGUAUAUGGAAACUCCCAGGCUAGGGGUCGAAUCAGAGCUAUAGUUGCUGGCCUACACCACAGCCACCACAAUACAGGAUCCAAGCCACAUCUGUGAUCUACACCACAGCUCACGGUAACAUCAGACCCUUAACCCACUGAGCAAGGCCAAGGAUUGAACCCGCAUCCUCAUAGACACUAGUCAGGUUCGUUACCACUGAGCCACUUGACGGGAACUCCAACCAGUGACUUUCUUUUGACUUGUUCACAAACCAAAUAUGUCAGUGUUAUUGCCUCAAGAAGUAAAGCAAUUUAAACCACCUUAUUAGUGUGAAAUCUGUGGAGAAAAUUCCACACCAUUGAAACACACUGUCUGUUAAAUCAGAGAAAAGACAUUUCAACUCCCCCUUGAUAUAUGAGAAUCAGCACUAAUGAAGAAUCAAGAGCAAAUUCUUUUAUGAUAAGCUUUUUUUCAGGAGUGAUUAAGAUGUUUUAACUUAUUUGGUUAGAAUAAAACAAGCAAAAUUUAAAGGGAAACCCUGAUUUGGAGGUCAACUUAAUUAUGGUACUGGCAUGAAUAUUUGAAUCUUUCUGUUCCCAGAAACUCAAAUGUUUCUUGUUUCUUUUCUUAAUUUUCUCAUUAUCAAGAUGGGACCAGUGUGGAAACCUUAAUGCUUACAAAGGGCAUUUUUUUAUUUCAAUUUGACCACCAGGUUCACAAAAGAUGGAUGUAUCUGGGCUGCUGAGUGGCCCCAACCAAUACUACUCCACUGAUAAAUACCCUCAGCAAAGAGGCAACUGGCCGGGCUUGCAGGAAUCAGUGCCGCUAAGCCAGUUGAAGUUUUAUUUCCCUGUCUUAGCUUGAGCUGCUAUAACAAAAGACUGUAGGAAUCCCCUUGAGGCUCAGUGGGUUAAGGAUCCAGCCUUGUCACUGUUGUGGCUCUGGUCACUGCUGUGGCACAGGUUCGAUCCCUGGCCCAGGUACUUCUGCAUGCUGCAGGUGGGGCCAGAAAAAAAUAAAAUAAACACCAUUAACCAGCCAGCAGAUUCAGUUCUUGGUGAGGGCCCUCAUCCUGGCUUGUAAACACCUUCCUUCUGUGUGAGCUCAUACAGCCUUUCCUUGGUAUGGGCAUAGGGGAGAUCGAGCUCCUUCCUGCCCCUUUCUCUUAUAAGGGCACAAAAUCUCUCUUAGGUAAAUACAAGGGCAGGACCCCCAUCACGGAGCCCCACCCCCAUGACCUCAUCUCAAUCUAUUACCUUCCAGAGGUCCCACCUCCAAAUACCAUCACCUGGGAGCUUAGGGGCAGGCGAGGGGCAAAAACAUUCAGCCCCUAACAUUCCCGGAAUAACAUUUUUAACAUCUUUUCAUUCGACUUCUUGAAAAUGGAAUUCAUGCCUUCUCAAAGCAGCUCUCUCUACUGCCCACUGGGUCUAAGUUCCACCACGUUCUAAAGUCUCAGCAUUUGUGUCUCGUCUCCAAAAUACUCAUUUACAUCUGUCCUUUUUCAAAAUAAAUGUCCUUCUGUCUUCUUCGUCUGUGGGUGUGGGCUCCCAGGCAAGAAUCCUGACUUUUUGCAGCAGAGUAAGUAAAGAGGGGGGAGGAGGGGAAGGAGAAUAAAACAGGAGACUUUGGUUUCCUUCCUCCUGCCCACUGCCCUCCACACACUGCCAGCAUCAUCUAUUAUGGAUAAAGCCCAGCCGAUGGGGCUCUCGUGUCUUCAGGGAAGACAGAAGGCCACAGAAAUGGAGACUUCCCUGCUUCCUGGUCCCCGGCUGCACAGAGACCACUAUGGGAAAGCACUCUGUGCUCAGGGAUGAGCAUGAGUCUGGAACUUUAUCAUCACCUCCAUUCUUCCAGGUAGCCCAUUCUCAAAUGGCAAAAGCCAGGAGAUUCUACACCAACUGCUUCCGGUGUUUUUCUAAGCAAGUUUUUGUCAUUAUUACAUAAGCAUCACAUUCAGAAACGUAUGCAAACCCAUGAAUUUUCACAGUGAACCAUGUAAACACCAGUCAGAUAAAAAUUACCAGUACUCCAGGGCCCCAACCAGCCACCCAAACCUCCUUAAUACCAAAGGUAACUGCUAGCUUAACUUAUAAAAUCAUAAACGAAUUUCCUUGUACUUGAACUUAUAAAUUACAGGAGGUGAUCUCCUGUGUCUUCUUUUACUUCUACCACUCAAUUAUAUGACUGAGAUUCAUCUAUGUUGUUUCCUGGAUAAAACAGCAUCUUUUCAGGGCUGUUUAGUAUUCUAUUACAUGCAUAUAAGAUAGUUAUCCAUUCCAUUUUUUAUAAACUUUGCAUUUUCUUAGUUUUGUUUGGCUAUCACACAGAUUGCUACUGUGGACAUUUACAUGGAUGGAUGGAUGGAGAGAUGAUAAAGGGAUAUACACACACAUAUAUACACAUAUGCAUGUAUGUGUAUGUAUAUAAAUGUGUAUGUCUGUGUAUAUCUGUAUAUCUUUGGGGGUGGAUAUGUAAUACAUAUCUGUUGAGUUUCUAUUUAGGAGUGGAAUUACUGGAUCAUGGAGCAUGCUGAUAUUCAGCUUUGCAGCUGAAGAGUACUGAAAAGUAAGUAUGUGAGUACUCCUUUGAUUCCACAUCUUUGCCAACUAUUAAUAUUAUUGUGCUUUUAAUUUUGUUUUGUUUUGGUUUUG